UUGAGUUUGUGAGUUUUUAAAAUUAUUAAAAUUUUAAAAAGACAUCUCCCUUUUCUGCAGUGCACCUGAUACACCAGAGACCCAAAUUCAGAAGCUCCAUGCAAGUUGUAAGAAAUGUGGCUUUAGGAAGCAUUUUGGGACUCUUCUCCACAACUGAAAGUAAUGUAGAGCCCACAAGGUCCCAAUUGGCUGUAUGUCAGAGGAAUCCACAAGCCUCCAAAAGUCAUUUUUGUUGUCACUUCCAUCAAGCCGCAACCUUAAUCUGGCACCAGUGAUUCCAAUUACUGUAGCUAUACACACUGAGGGUCAGAAGUGAGGAGCAGGUGGAAGGCUCCUUGGCAGUUCAGAGAGCAGUUGGUGAAGAGUGGCUCACCGAGACAGGGUGCCUGGGUUAGUCAGAGUGUUGCUGGAGUACUCUUUGGAGACCAUGUAGUGCUAGAGCACUAGCAGUUGGAGCACCGACAUCCCUUGCCUAAGAAUAGCACAGCUGAGGAUCACUGUGCCAUGGCACUGCCGGACUCCACAAGAGAGCAAUGAUUAUACUGAGAAUGGUGAAACAUACUACAAUGAUUACCUUCUGGCAAAAAAUUACAAGCAAU
Molecule: long non-coding RNA, 599 nt
Organism: Mauremys mutica (yellowpond turtle)
Lineage: Eukaryota; Metazoa; Chordata; Testudines; Geoemydidae
Exons: 3
Source: RefSeq, a predicted model, not a curated record